UGACGAAGGGGGCUAGCGUUGUUCGGAAUUACUGGGCGUAAAGCGCGCGCAGGCGGCUAUCCAAGUCAGUGGUGAAAGCCCGGAGCUCAACUCCGGAACUGCCAUUGAAACUGUUUAGCUUGAGGACGAGAGAGGUGAGUGGAAUUCCCAGUGUAGAGGUGAAAUUCGUAGAUAUUGGGAAGAACACCGGUGGCGAAGGCGGCUCACUGGCUCGGUAUCUGACGCUCAGGCGCGACAGCGUGGGGAUCAAACAGG
This 255-nucleotide ribosomal RNA is filed under the name uncultured bacterium. RNAcentral describes it as "partial 16S ribosomal RNA". It matches the Rfam family "Bacterial small subunit ribosomal RNA", at positions 523 to 776 of the family's 1533-position model. The record is from RNAcentral.